AUACGGAGGGUGCGAGCGUUGUUCGGAAUCAUUGGGCGUAAAGAGCAUGUAGGCGGUCUGUUAAGUCUGGUGUGAAAGCCCGGGGCUCAACCCCGGAAGUGCAUUGGAUACUGGCAGACUUGAGUAUGGGAGAGGAAAGCGGAAUUCCGAGUGUAGGAGUGAAAUCCGUAGAUAUUCGGAGGAACACCAGUGGCGAAGGCGGCUUUCUGGACCAAUACUGACGCUGAGAUGCGAAAGCGUGGGGAGCAAACAGGAUUAGAAACCCUUGUAGUCC
RNAcentral lists this ribosomal RNA (274 nucleotides) under uncultured bacterium. RNAcentral describes it as "partial 16S ribosomal RNA". It matches the Rfam family "Bacterial small subunit ribosomal RNA", at positions 523 to 796 of the family's 1533-position model. The record is from RNAcentral.